This 938-nucleotide long non-coding RNA is filed under the name Homo sapiens (human). RNAcentral describes it as "HSALNT0375976". The record is from RNAcentral. Lineage: Eukaryota; Metazoa; Chordata; Mammalia; Primates; Hominidae.
CCUGACUGGAGAGAAGCCCAGGUUGGCUGCCUACAAUCAGAGUCCACAUAUGUUCGGGGGAGGGACCCCAGAAGGCGGCUGACAGUAUUCCUUUAGCCAGAAAUCCCUUCAGGGAAGAGAAAGGUGCUCCCCUUUGCCUGCUUUUAUACUACAGACUGUUUCCAACUCCAGCUAGAAGUGACUAUUGCCGAUUAUGCUAAUCAGUGGCGACAAGCUCCCUUUGACUGCUCACUUCUCCAGUGAGGCUUCAAGCUUCUAGGCAUCAAGAUUAGUAAGGCUGUCUUCUGGGUGGGCCAGUUUGUUUCUCAGUGACACGAAAACAUUGCCUGGGGUGUGCACUGGUAUUUUCCAGAAAAUAUUUCAAGCAGAAUAUACUUAUUUUCCAGUUUUGAAAACAACUAGAUUGCCCAUCUCCAUUUCUCUCUAUCAUCUACUGUAUUAUUCUAUGGACAACUGCCACCCUAAUAAGCUCAAAGGAAACCAUGAGAGACUGUCUAACUAGACUUUUUGCUUGAUUUCCUGGACCCAAGAGCAGGAGUGAGGAGCUUUCUCCUGGUCAAGAAGGGAAGCCAGAAGUCAAGGCCACAGAAGACACAGGAAACAUCAUUUCCAAAGUGGGAGACAAAGCUGUUAACAGGAAAUUAUUUGUAAAGUCAAGAGCCAAGCAAAACAGAAAAAGGACAAGAAAUCUAUCACCUGUGGGUAUGAAUGGUUCUAGGGAAGUCUGUUGACAAUUGGAGGGUCUCAAAGGCGCUUUAUGGUACUUAUUUUAUGACCCUGAGUCUGGAGUCUGAUGAAUUAAAGAGGAAAUUCUGCUCUGGGCAACAUUUAAGAGAUAGUAUCUCCAGGCAGUAACUUUCGUAUUAACUCUCAUAAGAUUGAUGCCAUUCUGUCAUCUAAAGUGUGGACAAAAGUAGCAUUAAAGCAAAAUGAAAGGA